This 434-nucleotide unclassified non-coding RNA is filed under the name Hevea brasiliensis (rubber tree). Lineage: Eukaryota; Viridiplantae; Streptophyta; Magnoliopsida; Malpighiales; Euphorbiaceae. The record is from RNAcentral.
GAUCAAGAACUGGAACUACACUGGCUUAGUUGACGCCAUCCACAACGGUGAGGGGAAAUGCUGGACUGCGAAGGUGACAUGUGAGGAGGAGCUCAAGGAGGCGAUUGGGACUGCAAUGGGCGCGAAGAGUGACUGUCUCUGUUUCAUAGAGGUGAUUGUGCACAAGGAUGACACUGGCAAGGAACUGCUGGAGUGGGGGUCUAGGGUUUCUGCGGCCAACAGCAGGCCACCAAAUCCUUAGUGAACAGGCUUAUUAUCGGAUUUCCUCGUAUGCCUAAUUUCUUAGAUUUGAGUCUUUGCCAUGAAUGGUGAUAUCUAUUAGACUUUUGUUGAAGGUUCAGCUUAAACAGAAAAAUAAACCUGCCUCAAUUUCUUUUGACUAUGAAGAAUGUUGAGACUGCUUAUAAUUUAAGUUUUAAAGCAGCUUCUCUUUU